Molecule: ribosomal RNA, 518 nt
Filed under: fungal sp. 1a-G11
Lineage: Eukaryota; Fungi
Description: SSU rRNA
Rfam family: Eukaryotic small subunit ribosomal RNA
Source: RNAcentral
AUACAAAACCAAUGCCCUUCGGGGCUCUUUGGUGAUUCAUGAUAACUAUACGAAUCGCACGGCCUUGCGCCGGCGAUGGUUCAUUCAAAUUUCUUCCCUAUCAACUUUCGAUGUUUGGGUCUUGGCCAAACAUGGUUGCAACGGGUAACGGAGGGUUAGGGCUCGACCCCGGAGAAGGAGCCUGAGAAACGGCUACUACAUCCAAGGAAGGCAGCAGGCGCGCAAAUUACCCAAUCCCGACUCGGGGAGGUAGUGACAAUAAAUACUGAUACAGGGCCCUUUCGGGCCUUGUAAUUGGAAUGAGUACAAUUUAAAUCCCUUAACGAGGAACAAUUGGAGGGCAAGUCUGGUGCCAGCAGCCGCGGUAAUUCCAGCUCCAAUAGCGUAUAUUAAAGUUGUUGUGGUUAAAAAGCUCGUAGUUGAACCUUGGGCCUGGCUGGCCGGUCCGCCUCACCGCGUGCACUGGUCCGGCCGGGCCUUUCCCUCUGUGGAACCCCAUACCCUUCACUGGGCGUGGC